UACGGGAGGCAGCAGUGGGGAAUAUUGCACAAUGGGCGCAAGCCUGAUGCAGCCAUGCCGCGUGUAUGAAGAAGGCCUUCGGGUUGUAAAGUACUUUCAGUCGUGAGGAAGGUGUUAAGGUUAAUAACCUUAGCAAUUGACGUUAGCGACAGAAGAAGCACCGGCUAACUCCGUGCCAGCAGCCGCGGUAAUACGGAGGGUGCGAGCGUUAAUCGGAAUUACUGGGCGUAAAGGGCACGCAGGCGGUUAAUUAAGUUGGAUGUGAACUCCCCGGGCUUAACCUGGGAAUGGCAUUCAAGACUGGUUAGCUAGAGUCUUGUAGAGGGGGUAGAAUUCCAUGUGUAGCGGUGAAAUGCGUAGAGAUGUGGAGGAAUACCGGUGGCGAAGGCGGCCCCUGGACAAAGACUGACGCUCAUGUGCGAAAGCGUGGGGAGCAAACAGGGAUUAGAUACC
Molecule: ribosomal RNA, 453 nt
Filed under: uncultured bacterium
Lineage: Bacteria
Description: bacterial SSU rRNA
Rfam family: Bacterial small subunit ribosomal RNA
Source: RNAcentral